RNAcentral lists this long non-coding RNA (682 nucleotides) under Mus musculus (house mouse). RNAcentral's name for it is "predicted gene, 40987". Lineage: Eukaryota; Metazoa; Chordata; Mammalia; Rodentia; Muridae. The record is from RNAcentral.
UUUUUUUUUUUUUUUUUGCAACGCUAUAUCCUAUUCAAAGGCUUCAGAAACAACACAGACAUGUAAGACAUCGCAGAGGAGAGAAACCCUAUGAAUGUACUCAAUGUGGUAAAGCCUUUUCAUUUCCCAGUCAUCUCCAAUAUCAUAAAAGAAGACAUUCUGGAGAGAAGCCUUAUGAAUGUAAUCAAUGUGCUAAAGCCUUUGCAGAUCACACUGAGCUCCAAAGCCAUCAAAGAACACAUACUGGAGAGAAACCUUAAGAACACAAUCAAUGUGUAGAACCUAUUCACAAGGGAGACGUCUCCAAAGACAAAAGAAGACAUUCUGCAGAGAGACCUUAUGAAUAUAACCAAUGUGGUAAAAGCCUUUUCACAAAGUUCUUGUCUUUAAAAACAUAAAAGAACCCAUAUAGGACAGAAACUUUAUGAAUGUAAUCAAUGUGCUAAAGCUUUUGCAUAUCUCAGUAGUCUUCAAAACAUAAGCGAUCCCAUACUGGAAAGAAAUGUCAUGAAUGUAAUCAAUGUGUAAAGACCUUUUACAACUUUGUAGUCUCCAGUAGUAUAAAAAGAAUUUUUAAAAAAUCAGAUACAGGAGAGAAACCGUGUGAAUGUAAUCACUGCUGUAAACCCCUUUCCUGUUGCAGUUAUCUGCAACAACAUAAGAGAAUACAUACAAGAGAGAA